GUGACCAAAACUAACGAAAAAAAACAUCUGAUCGUGAGACGAAACCAAGAACAUCGGUGAGGUAAUAGCUUAUCAAGGCGAUAAUCAGUAGUUGGUCUGAGAGGAUAAUCAGCCACACUGGGACUGAGACACGGUCCAGACUCCUACGAGCAG
RNAcentral lists this non-coding RNA (153 nucleotides) under Triticum aestivum (bread wheat). RNAcentral's name for it is "Bacterial small subunit ribosomal RNA". It matches the Rfam family "Bacterial small subunit ribosomal RNA", at positions 187 to 347 of the family's 1533-position model. RNAcentral also lists the same sequence under 1 other name. The record is from Rfam by way of RNAcentral. Lineage: Eukaryota; Viridiplantae; Streptophyta; Magnoliopsida; Poales; Poaceae.